CUGACAGCACUAGAGACUGAAGUCCUGUAUAUAUACACACCCAAGAGAUGUACAACACAGGCUACAACAAUGCAUGCUUUCCCACACUGUCUUGCCAAUACAUAUCACCCUUAGAGUACACUUGCUUUAGAAAGAAAUUCAGUAUCCAAACCCAUUCAAAUCUUUGAUCUC
Unclassified non-coding RNA from Chelonoidis abingdonii (Abingdon island giant tortoise), 171 nucleotides. The record is from Ensembl. Lineage: Eukaryota; Metazoa; Chordata; Testudines; Testudinidae.